UACGGAGGAUCCGAGCGUUAUCCGGAUUUAUUGGGUUUAAAGGGAGCGUAGGUGGAUUGUUAAGUCAGUUGUGAAAGUUUGCGGCUCAACCGUAAAAUUGCAGUUGAAACUGGCAGUCUUGAGUACAGUAGAGGUGGGCGGAAUUCGUGGUGUAGCGGUGAAAUGCUUAGAUAUCACGACGAACUCCGAUUGCGAAGGCAGCUCACUGGACUGCAACUGACACUGAGGCUCGAAAGUGUGGGUAUCAAACAGG
This 253-nucleotide ribosomal RNA is filed under the name uncultured bacterium. RNAcentral describes it as "partial 16S ribosomal RNA". It matches the Rfam family "Bacterial small subunit ribosomal RNA", at positions 524 to 776 of the family's 1533-position model. The record is from RNAcentral.